Long non-coding RNA from Sitophilus oryzae (rice weevil), 522 nucleotides. RefSeq lists it as uncharacterized. The record is from RefSeq and is a predicted model, not a curated record. Lineage: Eukaryota; Metazoa; Arthropoda; Insecta; Coleoptera; Curculionidae. The transcript is spliced from 3 exons.
GGCCAUCUUCUAGAUGCCAUCAGGUAGGUGCGCUAGCGUAGUCGUUUGUUGUAGCAUUAUAUCCCUUUUCCUCCUUUUUAAAAAAUGUUUGUAAGACGCCUGAAAUUUGUAUAAGUUAGUUAUAUAAGUAGUUGAAUAAGAGUUGGUGAGACUUGGAAAAUAGAAGAGGCCAGAGAAGAUGGAAGAGGAUUGCUUUGAAAUAGAAGGAAAGGAGAUAGAAGAUGUUUGAGGAAAGAAGAAGGAUUUUGUUGGCUGCAACGGAAGUUUUUUGAAGGAAAUUUGGAGCAACUGUAUUAAGAUGUUAUUGGUAUCUUGGACAUCAAGUUUUAUUUAUUUAUGUAUUAUACAAGCAUAUCUAUUGGUGUAAAUGUAGAAUGGCAGCUGUUAUAACAACUUGGAUGAAUUAUUAGAAACAUCAAAGAAGUUUUGACAUAAUUUAAACUGGGAAAAGGCUCACAAAUGGCCAAUUUAUUCUACAGUAGAUACAGGACAUUAAAUUGACUUCAACAACGCAGAUAUCUC